This 476-nucleotide ribosomal RNA is filed under the name uncultured bacterium. RNAcentral describes it as "bacterial SSU rRNA". It matches the Rfam family "Bacterial small subunit ribosomal RNA", at positions 162 to 635 of the family's 1533-position model. The record is from RNAcentral.
GCUAAUAUCCCAUAACACUGCGAGAUGGCAUCAUUUUGCAGUUAAAACUCCGGUGGUUAUAGAUGGGCAUGCGCGACAUUAGCUAGUUGGUGAGGUAACGGCCCACCAAGGCUACGAUGUCUAGGGGUUCUGAGAGGAUUAUCCCCCACACUGGUACUGAGACACGGACCAGACUCCUACGGGAGGCAGCAGUAAGGAAUAUUGGUCAAUGGGCGCAAGCCUGAACCAGCCAUGCCGCGUGAAGGAUGACGGCCCUAUGGGUUGUAAACUUCUUUUGUACGGGAAAAAACCACCGGUCGUGUAUCGGUGCUGAUGGUACCGUAAGAAUAAGCAUCGGCUAACUCCGUGCCAGCAGCCGCGGUAAUACGGAGGAUGCAAGCGUUAUCCGGAUUCAUUGGGUUUAAAGGGUGCGCAGGCGGAAUAAUAAGUCAACGGUGAAAGCCUACAGCUUAACUGUAGAACUGCCAUUGAUACUG